Molecule: ribosomal RNA, 507 nt
Filed under: uncultured bacterium
Lineage: Bacteria
Description: partial 16S ribosomal RNA
Rfam family: Bacterial small subunit ribosomal RNA
Source: RNAcentral
GAUGAACGCUAGCUACAGGCUUAACACAUGCAAGUCGAGGGGAAACGAUAUUGGAAGCUUGCUUCCGAUAGGCGUCGACCGGCGCACGGGUGAGUAACGCGUAUCCAACCUGCCCACCACUUGGGGAUGACCUUGCGAAAGUAAGACUAAUACCCAAUGAUAUCUCUAGAAGACAUCUGAAGGAGAUUAAAGAUUCAUCGGUGAUGGAUGGGGAUGCGUCUGAUUAGCUUGUUGGCGGGGUAACGGCCCACCAAGGCGACGAUCAGUAGGGGUUCUGAGAGGAAGGUCCCCCACAUUGGAACUGAGACACGGUCCAAACUCCUACGGGAGGCAGCAGUGAGGAAUAUUGGUCAAUGGGCGAGAGCCUGAACCAGCCAAGUAGCGUGCAGGAUGACGGCCCUAUGGGUUGUAAACUGCUUUUAUAAGGGAAUAAAGUGAGUCUCGUGAGACUUUUGCAUGUACCUUAUGAAUAAGGACCGGCUAAUUCCGUGCCAGCCGCCGCGGUAA